GAGGUUACAAAAACCCCGUGUCGUCGUCGAGUGCUGGCAAGUCGCAAAGUGGAACGCAAAGGCGAACGAGCUAAACCAAAACGCGGAAUCUAUACCCACAGUAUACAGUAUAUAUAUAUAUAUGUAUAUAUAUCUGUAUAUAUAUAUAUCUAUUUAAAUACAUAUCCAAAAGUGCCCUGAAGAGAACUCUACAGAGUUGAGAGUUUGUCGGACUUCGACUGGGGUCUGGUGGCUGGCUGGCUGUUGACUGCUUUUGUGUACGUUGCUUACCUGUCGUGUUGGCCACGUUUGUGACGAUCUGAUCAGUGCACCGUCAGCCAGCGGCGCGCUCGGUUCGUACGAGCAGAGCGCGCACCCAACAACAGCAACAAGAGCCGAACCCCACAUCCAGAGAACUAGCAAUCGCAGAGAUACCAAAGAACAAAAAAAGUGUUUGAUAAACUGAUAAUACAAUAGAACCCAAAAGAAUAUUUGCAAUCAGAAACGAAACGUGGCGCACACCUAUAAAUAAUACAUAUACACUCGUAUAUCUUUAAACCCAAAAGACAUAUCUAUCAACUAAUACCGAUACGAAAUAACAGCGAGCGAAAAAUGAAAAGACAAAACCCCAACUAAACAUAGCGGUAAAGUGUCAAUAAAACUCUCGAAUUCAUUAACACAACUCACAAAACGUUCUAUUAGUAAGCACUUGCAAAUUUCAACGAAAAGUUCCAGCGGAAAGAUAGCUGAAAACCGCUGAAAACACUGAACGGAACUGAACUGGAGACAGAGUCCCAUACAGAUAUGAAGAUAUAUAUAUAUAUAUAUAUGUAUAUAUAUAGAGAGAGAGACAGAGAGAGAGGUGGCCUAGACGAGACCAGACUAGACACAAAUUAGCGUGGCCAUCAGUCAAAAGGUCUAAUAGAAGCGCGUGUAUACGAGUAUAUACCCAUAUAGCUGUAUUCCAUACCUCGUACACCUCACCGAGAGACCCCAAAAGCCAUGAUCGUAAAAAUGUCGACAAAAAAUAACCAACCGAAACGAUGGCGACGAGUCGAGACGAGACGAGACGCGAGGCUUGAUGCUUUCAUGUCCUUGGCCUGUAAAAGGGCAGUCAAAUUCUUGGCACUCCAUAACAACAACAUCAUCAAAGACGUACAGCGAUUGCAAUGAUUCCCAGGAGUCCUUUCAGCGGAACCGUAUCGGAGCCAGAGGCCAAACCCCCCGCUGACGAGAACCAGAGCAGAGCCAGAGUCAGAGCACCUCUGAGACAAAUGCUGUGGACUCUCGUCUUGUCAAUCAAUUGGCCUGUGAUGGGGCCUAGGAACUGGAACUGGAAAUGGUCGUCGCAUCGAAUGCUUCCUGUUCGGGUAAGUUGAUACGUUGGACCAGGCUCUGGGUCUAGCUUAAUGAGCGACCCCGACCCCGACCCCGAGUUGACCUCAAAGCGGACUGAAAGCAAACCAAUUUAUCAAAAUGGAAAGAAGCACUGAAACAACUCCACGCAUAAUUAAACCAAACCAAAACAGAAAUACACAAUGGAAAGGAAAAAAUGAGAAACAGCAACAGAAACAGAAACAUAAAGAUAUCCAAAUGCGUUUUUAAACCGUUGAGCAACGCCUCUUUCUAACA
Drosophila pseudoobscura is the source of this 1611-nucleotide long non-coding RNA. RefSeq lists it as uncharacterized. The record is from RefSeq and is a predicted model, not a curated record. The transcript has 3 exons. NCBI's taxonomy places the organism in Eukaryota, Metazoa, Arthropoda, Insecta, Diptera, Drosophilidae.